Molecule: ribosomal RNA, 253 nt
Filed under: uncultured bacterium
Lineage: Bacteria
Description: partial 16S ribosomal RNA
Rfam family: Bacterial small subunit ribosomal RNA
Source: RNAcentral
UACGUAGGGGUCUAGCGUUGUCCGGAAUCAUUGGGCGUAAAGCGUCCGCAGGUGGCUAUGUAAGUCUGCUGUUAAAGAGUGAGGCUCAACCUCAUAAGAGCAGUGGAAACUACAUGGCUAGAGUGCGUUCGGGGCAGAGGGAAUUCCUGGUGUAGCGGUGAAAUGCGUAGAUAUCAGGAAGAACACCGGUGGCGAAAGCGCUCUGCUAGGCCGCAACUGACACUGAGGGACGAAAGCUAGGGGAGCGAAUGGG